AGAGUUUGAUCAUGGCUCAGAACAAACGCUGGCGGCGUGCUUAACACAUGCAAGUCGUACGAGAAAGUCCGCUUCGGCGGAUGAGUAAAGUGGCGCACGGGUGCGUAACACGUGGGUAAUCUGCCCUUCAGUGGGGAAUAACUCGCCGAAAGGCGGGCUAAUACCGCAUAAUACCGUUUCCACCCCGGUGGGACGGUCAAAGACAGCCUCUGUUUACAAGCUGUCGCUGAAGGAUGAGCCCGCGGCCUAUCAGCUAGUUGGUGGGGUAAUGGCUCACCAAGGCUGUGACGGGUAGCUGGUCUGAGAGGAUGGCCAGCCACACUGGAACUGAGACACGGUCCAGACUCCUACGGGAGGCAGCAGUGGGGAAUCUUGGGCAAUGGGGGCAACCCUGACCCAGCGACGCCGCGUGAGUGAGGAAGGUCUUCGGAUCGUAAAGCUCUGUCGGAUGGGAAGAAAUGUGUGGAAGUGAACAGCUUCCAUGCUUGACGGUACCAUCAGAGGAAGCACCGGCUAACUCCGUGCCAGCAGCCGCGGUAAUACGGGGGGUGCAAGCGUUGUUCGGAAUCAUUGGGCGUAAAGGGCGUGUAGGCGGCUGGAUAAGUCAGAUGUGAAAUCCCUGGGCUUAACCCAGGAAGUGCGUUUGAAACUGUCCGGCUUGAGUGAGGGAGAGGAAAGUGGAAUUCCUGGUGUAGAGGUGAAAUUCGUAGAUAUCAGGAGGAACACCGGUGGCGAAGGCGACUUUCUGGCCCUAUACUGACGCUGAGACGCGAAAGCGUGGGGAGCAAACAGGAUUAGAUACCCUGGUAGUCCACGCUGUAAACGAUGUUCACUAGGUGUUGGGGGUAUUGACCCCCUCAGUGCCGUAGCUAACGCAUUAAGUGAACCGCCUGGGGAGUACGGUCGCAAGACUAAAACUCAAAGGAAUUGACGG
RNAcentral lists this ribosomal RNA (934 nucleotides) under Syntrophaceae bacterium enrichment culture clone L35B_75. RNAcentral's name for it is "bacterial SSU rRNA". It matches the Rfam family "Bacterial small subunit ribosomal RNA", at positions 8 to 916 of the family's 1533-position model. The record is from RNAcentral. Lineage: Bacteria; Pseudomonadati; Thermodesulfobacteriota; Syntrophia; Syntrophales; Syntrophaceae.